ACGAAGGGGGCUAGCGUUGCUCGGAUUUACUGGGCGUAAAGGGCGCGUAGGCGGACAUUUAAGUCAGGGGUGAAAUCCCGGGGCUCAACCUCGGAACUGCCUUUGAUACUGGGUGUCUUGAGUAUGAGAGAGGUGUGUGGAACUCCGAGUGUAGAGGUGAAAUUCGUAGAUAUUCGGAAGAACACCAGUGGCGAAGGCGACACACUGGCUCAUUACUGACGCUGAGGCGCGAAAGCGUGGGGAGCAAACAGGA
RNAcentral lists this ribosomal RNA (253 nucleotides) under uncultured prokaryote. RNAcentral describes it as "partial 16S ribosomal RNA". It matches the Rfam family "Bacterial small subunit ribosomal RNA", at positions 525 to 777 of the family's 1533-position model. The record is from RNAcentral.